This 426-nucleotide long non-coding RNA is filed under the name Numida meleagris (helmeted guineafowl). RNAcentral's name for it is "lncRNA (ENSNMEG00000013318.1)". The record is from RNAcentral. Lineage: Eukaryota; Metazoa; Chordata; Aves; Galliformes; Numididae.
UUCUAUAGGAAAACAGACUGAGGAAGCUGUGACAAAACUCUAUCACAAAGCCAACUGAUCCACUUCAGAGAUCUCAAGUGGUGGGGAGUACGGUUUCAGUAAUCUUCUGAUGUGAUGAUUCAAAGAUCUCCACAUGCACUGACUUUCCAAGCCUGCUGAUGUAACAGACUUUUUGCUAUGUGAACAAAACAGUUGAUAUUUCAUCAUGGAAUUAGAGGAGAAGGAACACAGUCUGGCAGCUUGCUUCAGUUGCAGGAGGUGCUCUAGCUUUCCUGAACCUGGAGCUUCAGCCCUGAUGAGAAGUGCUUGCACUAUUUGUUCAGACCUCUUCUAUGGGCAAGUUGUGUCAAGUUUUGCAGCCUUGUGCUUCAAAUAAUGUAAUGGGUUGAUGGUUUCAUUGCAAGAUUUUGAAUGCAAACUCAGGGG